RNAcentral lists this ribosomal RNA (254 nucleotides) under uncultured bacterium. RNAcentral describes it as "partial 16S ribosomal RNA". It matches the Rfam family "Bacterial small subunit ribosomal RNA", at positions 524 to 776 of the family's 1533-position model. The record is from RNAcentral.
UACGUAGGGUGCAAGCGUUGUCCGGAAUUAUUGGGCGUAAAGAGCUCGUAGGCGGUUCGUCGCGUCGGCUGUGAAAAUCCCGGAGCUCAACUCCGGGUCUGCAGUCGAUACGGGCGGACUCGAGUUCGGCAGGGGAGACUGGAAUUCCUGGUGUAGCGGUGAAAUGCGCAGAUAUCAGGAGGAACACCGGUGGCGAAGGCGGGUCUCUGGGCCGAUACUGACGCUGAGGAGCGAAAGCGUGGGGAGCGAACAGG